CUGGCUCAGGAUGAACGCUGGCGGCGUGCUUAACACAUGCAAGUCGAACGAUGAUGCCAGCUUGCUGGCGGAUUAGUGGCGAACGGGUGAGUAACACGUGAGUAACCUGCCCUUAACUCUGGGAUAAGCCUGGGAAACUGGGUCUAAUACCGGAUAUGACUCCUCAUCGCAUGGUGGGGGGUGGAAAGCUUUWUUGUGGUUUUGGAUGGACUCGCGGCCUAUCAGCUUGUUGGUGAGGUAAUGGCUCACCAAGGCGACGACGGGUAGCCGGCCUGAGAGGGUGACCGGCCACACUGGGACUGAGACACGGCCCAGACUCCUACGGGAGGCAGCAGUGGGGAAUAUUGCACAAUGGGCGAAAGCCUGAUGCAGCGACGCCGCGUGAGGGAUGACGGCCUUCGGGUUGUAAACCUCUUUCAGUAGGGAAGAAGCGAAAGUGACGGUACCUGCAGAAGAAGCGCCGGCUAACUACGUGCCAGCAGCCGCGGUAAUACGUAGGGCGCAAGCGUUAUCCGGAAUUAUUGGGCGUAAAGAGCUCGUAGGCGGUUUGUCGCGUCUGCCGUGAAAGUCCGGGGCUCAACUCCGGAUCUGCGGUGGGUACGGGCAGACUAGAGUGAUGUAGGGGAGACUGGAAUUCCUGGUGUAGCGGUGAAAUGCGCAGAUAUCAGGAGGAACACCGAUGGCGAAGGCAGGUCUCUGGGCAUUAACUGACGCUGAGGAGCGAAAGCAUGGGGAGCGAACAGGAUUAGAUACCC
RNAcentral lists this ribosomal RNA (755 nucleotides) under Arthrobacter sp. RNAcentral describes it as "bacterial SSU rRNA". The record is from RNAcentral. Lineage: Bacteria; Bacillati; Actinomycetota; Actinomycetes; Micrococcales; Micrococcaceae.